RNAcentral lists this ribosomal RNA (467 nucleotides) under uncultured bacterium. Its description in RNAcentral is "partial 16S ribosomal RNA". It matches the Rfam family "Bacterial small subunit ribosomal RNA", at positions 28 to 507 of the family's 1533-position model. The record is from RNAcentral.
GAUGAACGCUGGCGGCGUGCUUAACACAUGCAAGUCGAACGGAAAGGCCCAAGCUUGCUUGGGUACUCGAGCGGCGAACGGGUGAGUAACACGUGGGUGAUCUGCCCUGCACUUCGGGAUAAGCCUGGGAAACUGGGUCUAAUACCGGAUAGGACCACAUUUUGGAUGGUGUGGUGGAAAGUUUUUCGGUGUGGGAUGAGCUCGCGGCCUAUCAGCUUGUUGGUGGGGUAAUGGCCUACCAAGGCGUCGACGGGUAGCCGGCCUGAGAGGGUGUACGGCCACAUUGGGACUGAGAUACGGCCCAGACUCCUACGGGAGGCAGCAGUGGGGAAUAUUGCACAAUGGGCGCAAGCCUGAUGCAGCGACGCCGCGUGGGGGAUGACGGCCUUCGGGUUGUAAACUCCUUUCGCUAGGGACGAAGCGUUUUUGUGACGGUACCUGGAGAAGAAGCACCGGCUAACUACGUG